RNAcentral lists this long non-coding RNA (10248 nucleotides) under Capsicum annuum. RNAcentral describes it as "long non-coding RNA (CANN_LNC013401)". Lineage: Eukaryota; Viridiplantae; Streptophyta; Magnoliopsida; Solanales; Solanaceae. The record is from RNAcentral.
UCCAUCUUCAAUGGCAAAACAACUACCACACUGCUACAUCUGUUCUCCAUUCUUUCAACCGCCUGAAUCGCUCUGGAACUGAACUGAAUUGGACAAGCGCAUGAUGAAGUUUGAAGCCAAUUUAGGUUCUCCAUGCAGUUCAUCCAUCUAGUUAAAAACAAAUACAUCAGUGACGCUUCAUGAACCAUUACAUACAAAGAAUAGGCUGGCAGAACAUGAGUGGACAAAUCAGGCGAUAGCCCUUGCACACCAGUACAGGCUUUCCCGCUCAACUUCUGCACUGGUAUUUGAGAAGUUGGUAAUUGCUAUUCAGAGUCUUCAAAAACUUCCCCAUCAUCAAAAGCUCGAACAUCAAGCUGAUAACGGAGGAGUCCUCCAAUGCCACCAAAACCUCAGCAAAACUGAGACCCUUCUUGUGACUUGUUGGUGACAAGUUCCAGAUUGCAACCAAAUCUCCUAUACUCGUUAGCAAACCACUCAAGCAGUGACAACUUCUCCUGAAACUCUAAUUCGGCAUUUGAAGCAGGAUCACGAAGUUACUCUGACCAGCCUCCUGGUCCUUGUUCAACUGUUUGACAACAAUUUCUCCAGAACUGCUAUUUUUCAGCACAUGCCUCGUAAUAUCCAGAUUUUCCCACACAAUAAGUGUAACGCCCCGCAUUUCGGGCUACAAUAUAGACCAUGAAUCCGAUGCGUUGAUAAUUCCGAAGCCAUAAAUCCUAUGCCAAUAUGGCAUGUUAAUUAUUUGUGUAGUAUGUGAACCCAUUCAAGUUUGAAUGUAGACCAUAGAGGUCCUUUGACUCAAGGACGAGUUGAAAACUAUUUCGAUCGAUUAAGUUUUAGUGUCGCGACACCCUUGGGUCGAGACACCCUGUUGUGUGAUCUUGUGUGUCUUCCCCUCACGUAUAUUCUAAUCUCGGCGGCAACCGAGGUUUGACAGUUGGUGUAAAUUACGUAGGGUAUUCCACCUAGCUCGUAUUCCACCUAGCUCAGCUGCAUUACAUUGUUGUUGAAAAACUAUUACAUUAUGCCCAUGUGUUUUCAAAUGAAUUGAUAUGAAACUGCUUUAUAAUGGCUCUCACCUAUAUUUUGUAAAAAUAUUAUGUUUUGUUUUGAUAUCUCUGCGUACCAGUACUUUUGUAUUGACUCCCCCUUCCUCCCAGGUUUGGAGGCACAGUCUAGAGGUCCAGAAAAUCAGUAGAUUCCUCAGAAAGAUUUGCAGAGUUACUUGGUGAGCCUUCUAUAUUUCAGAAGGCCUGAUGUCUGGCAGUUUCAUUUAUCAGUUAUUAGUUUUGGGUCUACUGGGGGCCUUGUCCCAGUUGUCAGACAGUUAUUUAUUUCAGUCAUGUAGUAGAGACUUCACAGACGUUUUAGAGAUGUUGUUUGAGAUUGUGGGACAUUAUUCCCCAUUAUUGCUUUUAUAUGAUUCCUGACCAUGUUUUUCGUUAUACUGUGUAUCUUCCGCAUUUUCAUUGUCAUAUAAGCUCAUGUGCAUGAUUACCAGACAGAUAGGGGUGUUCCGAGCCUUAUGGUUCGGAAUGCUCGUCACGUCCAGGGCCCCGGUUUUGAUCAUGACAAACUUGGUAUCAAAGCGCAUGGUUCAUGGUCCCAGGGUGUCUGUGAAAUCGCGUCGGGUAGAAUCUUUUUGAUGGGUGUGUAGCGCGCCACACUUAUAAGCGGGAAGCUACUAGGCGUUUAGGAAAUGUUUCCCUUCUUUGUGAAUUAGUUCGUGCUUCAGAGUCAAGUCUGGUCCUAAUUAGAAAUCUUUUGGUCUUACAGAAAUAACGGUCAUGCCUCCUCGUCGCAAUGCUAAUCAGAGUGAUCAGAAUGAGGAAGUCCGUCCCACUCAUGGGAUGAGGACACGUAUCCUACUCUAGACCCUGUCCCUACUCUGGGAGUCCCUCCUGUUCCAACCAGUACACUUCGGGCUCCACAGACCAAUAUGAACCAUCCCCCGACUACUCAGGGAACAUAUCAAACGCAGAGUUCAGGCAGUCUAUUCAUAUGUUGACACAGUUGGUGGAUGCACAGACUCAGCGGUCAGAGGAUACCAGGUCUGCAUUUGUUAUUUCUGGAGCUACUUGAGUAAGCCAAUUCAUGAGGAUGAACCCUCCCAAAUUCACACGUAAUAAGGUAGAAGAAGAUCCGCAGGAAUUUGUGGAUGAAAUGGAAAAGAUUUUCAAAGUGAUGCAUGUUGAUGAGGUAGAAGGGGUAGAAUUGGUAGCAUACCAGCUGAAAGAGGUGGUGAAUCAGUGGUACAACGAUUGGGAAAAUGUGAAGGGCGACAAUGCCGAGCCCUCAAUAUGGAAUGAGUUUGUUGAUGCUUUCCUUGACAGGUUCUUCCCUCUGGAGCUGAGGGAAGCUAAAGGAGAAGAGUUCAUAAACCUCAAGCAGGGUAAGAUGAGCGUGCAGGAGUACACUUUGAAAUUCAACCAGCUGGCCUGUUAUGCUCCUGAGAUGACGGGUAGUAUGAGGGCCCGAAUGAGGAAGUUUGCAUCCGGCCUUUCUGAUGACCUGGUGCUUGAUUUCCAGGGAGUUAUGUUGAACAAGGAAUUGGACUUUGCUAGGCUAACCGUUCAUAUACAGGUAGAAGAGAAAAAGAAGAAAAUUUCUGAGGCUAGGGAGCUAGAAAGACAGGCAAAAAGAGCGAGAUCUGCAGACCAGGGUCACAGCCACCCUCAAAGCAGUAAGUAGGGAAAUAAAUGGCAUAAGAAUAAGAAUUGGGGUAAUGCACAGUCUUCUGCCAGCGCCCUAGCGCCCAAACCACCAGCAGACAGACGAUCUCGGAGUUUCCAGACUCAUCAUGGAUCGAGAGCCCCAGAUACUCGGUCGCAGGGCAGUGUGGCCCAGCAGCGUCGUACUUAUCCACGUUGUGAUAUUUGUGGAAAGAAUCACCCAGGAAGGUGCUUUUACGAGGGGAAAAAAUUGUUAUACUUAUGGCAAGGUGGGUCACUUUCAGAAAGAUUGCCCUUCUGCUGGAGGAAAUGCGGAGGGGGCUAUGCCCCAAGUCGCGUCCACGGCUUCUCCUCCUAAGGGAGCUCUUUCAGCUGUCGAGAGCGGUCGUAACCGGUUAUAUGCUUUGGCUAACCACCAGGAGGCGGAAGCUUUACCAGAUGUUGUCACCGAUACGUUACGGAUCUUUUCUAGUGAUGUUUAUGUAUUGCUUGAUCCCGGGUCUACUUUAUCUUAUGUGACCCCUUAUGUGGUUAUUGGUUUUGGGUUCGAGCUCGAAGUUAUUGUAGAACCCUUCACUGUUUCCACUCCUGUAGGUGAUUUUGUUGUUGCUAGAAGGGUGUAUAGAAAUUGUGUUGUGUCUGUUCUUAGUCGGGAUACUGUGGCAGACCUUAUAGAACUUGAUAUGAUAGAUUUUGAUGCUAUCUUUGGGAUGGACUGGCUUCAUUCGUGUUAUGCCACACUUGAUUGCAGAACCCGUAAGGUUACUUUUUCUUUUUUGAAUGAGACACCAAUUGAGUGGGCUGGGAAUUCUGUGGCACCUAAAGGUCACUUCAUCUCUUAUCUUAGAGCCCGAAAACUCAUCUCCAGAGGUUGUAUGUAUCAUCUAAUCCGAGUAAAAGAUUCUAGAGUUGAAAAUCUUCCUUUUCAGUCUGUCCCUGUAGUGAAUGAGUUUCCAGAAGUCGUUCUCAAAGAUCUCGAUCUUCCAGGGAUACCACUUAAUAGGGAGAUAGAUUUUGGCGUUGAUGUAUUGCCGGACACUCGUCCUAUUUCCAUUCCGCCAUAUAGAAUGGCUCCCGCGGAACUAAGAGUUAAAAGAGCAGCUUGCAGACCUCCUAGGCAAAGGCUUUAUUCGUCCUAGUGUUUCCCCAUGGGGUGCACUGAUACUUUUCGUGCGAAAGAAGGAUGGGUCCCUUCGUAUGUGCAUAGACUACCGCCAGUUGAAUAAGGUCACAAUUAAAAACAAAUAUCCUCUUCUUAGGAUUGAUGAUCUUUUUGACCAGCUUCAGGGUGCUAAGUGUUUCUCGAAAUAGACAUUCAUUCGAGCUAUCAUCAGUUGAAGGUUAGUGAGUCAGACAUUCCCAAAACAGCUUUCCAAACUCGAUAUGGUCAUUAUGAGUUCUUAGUCAUGUCUUUCGGAUUGACCAAUGCCCCUGCAGCCUUCAUGGAUUUUAUGAAUAGGAUGUUCCAUCAGUUUCUAGACUUGUUCGUCAUAGUGUUCAUAGAUGAUAUUCUGAUCUAUUCCAAAAGUGAGGAGGACCAUGCCAAUCAUCUCUGAAUUAUCCUUCAGACCCUUAAGGAUCAUCAGUUGUAUGCUAAGUUCUCCAAAUGUGAAUUCUGGCUGAAUGUUAUCGUUUUCUUGGGGCAUAUUGUAUCUAGUGACGAGAUUAGAGUGGAUCCUCAAAAGAUUGAGGCAGUGAGAAAAUGGUCCAGACCCCCGACUCUAACCGAUAUUCAAAGCUUCUUGGACCUGGCAGGUUAUUACAGAAGAUUCGUAGAAAGUUUUUCUUCCAUAGCUGCUCCGCUUACUAAAUUGACUCAGAAAAAGGUGAAGUUUAUGUGGUCUGAUCUAUGUGAAAAUAGUUUUGAGAAGUUAAAAAACAAACUGACCACUGCUCCUGUUUUGACCCUUCCCGAGGGUGUAGAUGACUUUGUGGUUUACUGUGAUGCGUCCCGUGUGGGACUUGGUUGUGUAUUGAUGCAGCGUGGUAAGGUGAUAUCUUAUGCAUCUAGGCAGUUAAAGGUGCACGAGCGAAAUUACCCCACUCAUGACUUGGACUUAGCUGCUGUGGUGUUUGCGCUCAAAAUUUGGAGGUAUUAUCUCUAUGGAGUGCAUGUUGAUAUUUAUACUGACCACAAAAGUUUGCAGUAUAUUUUCUCGCAGAAAGAAUUGAACCUCAGGCAGAGGCGUUGGAUGAAACUUUUGAAAGACUAUGAUAUGAGCCUACAUUAUCAUCCGGGCAAGGCAAAUGUUGUAGCCGACGCCCUCAGCAGGUUGUCUAUGGGCAGCCUUUCUCAUGUUAAAGAGGCGAAGAAAGAGAUGGUGAAGGAUAUUCACUGCCUUGCAAAUCUGAGAGUGCGACUCUUAGAUUCCGAGGAUGGAGGGGUGAUUGUUCAUGAGUUAGCUAAGUCAUCCCUUUGUGCUGAAGCUAAGGAGAAGCAGGUUAAAGAUCCCAUCUUGAUGCAAAUCAAGAAAGAUGUGGGUCAACAAAAGGUAAUGUCAUUCGAAAUUAGUGGUGAUGGUAUCUUGAGGUUUCAGGGCAGAUUAUGUGUACCAGAUGUAGAUGACUUACGAAAGAGAAUUCUUGACGAAGCUCACACCUCGAGGUAUGUUGUUCAUCCUGGUUCUACUAAGAUGUACCAUGAUUUGAAAUCUAUUUAUUGGUGGAAUAAUAUGAAGCGAGAUGUGGCUAACUUUGUUUCUAAGUGCAUGAAUUGCCAACAAGUGAAAAUAGAACAUUUGAGGCCAGGACGUACUUCCCAAGAGAUAGCUUUGCCCUUGUGGAAGUGGGAGAUGAUAAAUAUGGACUUCAUUAUAGGACUUCCAAAGUCCCGGAACCAGUAUGACUCCAUUUGGGUGAUUGUAGAUCGGUUGACAAAGUCAGCUCACUUUCUGCCUGUGAGGACUAGUUAUUCGGGAGAUGACCAUGCGAAGUUGUACAUUGAAGAAAUAGUCCGUCUACAUGGAGCACCUAUCUUUAUUAUAUCCGACCGAGGUACGCAAUUUUCUUCUCAGUUUUGGAGGUUGUUUCAGAAGGGUUUAGGUACCCAAGUGAACUUAAGUACAGCCUUCCACCCUCAGACCGAUGGGCAAGUUGAGCGCACCAUUCAGACCCUUGAGGAUAUAUUGAGAGCUUGUGUAAUAGAUUUCAAGGGUAGUUGGGUAGAUCAUUUGCCGUUGAUAGAGUUCGCUUACAAUAAUAGCUUCCAUUCCAGUAUUAAAAUGGCACCAUUUGAAGCCUUGUAUGGGAGAAGAUGCAGGUCUCCUAUAGGGUGGUAUGAAGUUGGUGAGACGAGGUUGUUUGGGCCUGAUCUUGUUCAUCAGGCAAUGGAGGAUGUGGAAUUAAUCAGAGAACGACUUAAGACGGCUCAGAGUCGUUAGAAAUCCUAUGCUGAUGUUAGAAGAAGAGAGUUAGAGUUUGAGGUUGGAGAUUGGGUAUUCCUUAAAGUUUCUCCCAUGAAGGGAGUUAUGCAAUUCGGGAAGAAAGAAAAGUUAAGUCCCCGCUAUAUAGGACCAUACCAAGUUGUAAAAAGGAUAGGUGGAGUUGCAUACGAGUUAGAGCUGCCUGCAAAUUUGGGUUCUAUUCACCCGGUAUUCUAUAUAUCUAUGUUGAAGAAGUGCAUUGGAGAUCAUUCGAUAGUGUUACCUGUAGAAAAAAUCAAAGUGACUGAUUCCUUGUCUUAUGAAGAAGAGCCUGUAGCAAUUUUGGAUUGCCAAGUUAGAAAGUUAAGGAGCAAAGAAAUAGCCUCAGUUAAAGUAUUAUGGCGAAAUCAAAAAGUUAAAGAAGCAACUUGGGAGUCAGAAGCCGACAUGAGAAAUAGAUACCCGCAUUUAUUUGAUCCAGUGAAUGAUGAGAUGGAAGGUACAAUUCUUGUCCUAUGUCUUCUUUUCUAUAUCUGAGUAUACUUGAAAUCGUGCGUGACUGUAUUCCGUGUCAUCAUUCGGGAACGAAUGAUCCCAAGGGGGAUAAUGUAACGCCCUGCAUUUUGGGCUACAAUAUAGACCAUGACUCCGAUGCAUUGAUAAUUUCGAAUCCAUAAAUCCUAUGCCAAUAUGGCAUGUUAAUUAUUUGUGUAGGAUGUGAACUCAUUCAAGCUUGAAUGUAAACCAUAGAGGUCCUUUGACUCAAGGACGAGUUGAAAACUAUUUCUAUCGAUUAAGUUUUAGUGGAUAUUGUAAAUUGUGUCAGCUUCUAUCGACCAUAACUCUUUGUAUAUGUUGAAUUAGAGAAUUAGAGAGCCUACUAUGUGUAAAAUGAUAGGUUUUCGAGUUAGCUUUCCAAUGAUACCAAUUUUGCUAAAAUCUGACACCCGAGCAAGAAGUUAUGGCCUUUCAAAGUAGAAUGCGUCGCCUAACCAAUCGCAUAUGGCCACUGGAAAGCAUAGGCGAUAGCAUAGGCGGCGCCUAUGUAAAUAUAGGCGAUAGCAUAGGCAGCGCCUAUGUAAAUAUAGGCGAUAGCAUAUGCAGCGCAUAUCUUAUGGUUUCAAGUGACUUAAACACUCCGUUUUUGGGGCAAAAUGGUCCUUUUCCCACCCUUAUUCAGCCAUAAACAAGAAAUUUAGUCCUCAAUUCUCCAAAAUACAUCCAUUAUCAUCAAAUUGCUCCAAGAACUUGCAUAAGGGUUUCGAAAUAAAAAUCCACAUAACUCAAGAUUUAACCGUGGGUUUUCAAACAAAUUGAAGAUUUGAAAUCCCCAAGUCAAGGGCAUCAAGAAGCACCCUUUUGAAUUCCUAAAUAGAGGUACGUGGGGUUAUCCAAAAAUCUCAUGGGUCUUUAAAAAUUCAUGUUUUCAAAUGGGGUUUUUGAAAUUACAAAUAUGACUAUGUAUUGAACAUUUUAUGUAAUUGAUCUGGUCUGUAGGCCUAUUUUCAAAGUGAUUCGAUAUAUGAAAUAUGUAUAUGCAUGUAUUCCGAAAAGAUGUUAACUUGAGAGCAUGAAUGAUAUGAAAUCCCUCUUUUGAUAUGAAAUCCCUCUUUUGAUAUGAAAUUGUUUUGAAUUUUCAUAUGACGUGAAUUGUUUUGAAAUCAUCUUGACAAGCAUGACAUGAAAUCUUUUGAAAGUGAAUAUGAUUUUUGACUUGCAAAGAGAGGGAUUGUUAUGAUGAAAUAUGAUGAACAGAAUGACCGCAUGAAAGAAUGAUGUGAUAUUGAUGGCUUGCAAGUCGGGUAUGACGAUACCCUACAGAAUGACAUGUGAUUAAAUCAGAUGAAAUUUGAAGGCAUUGAUUUUACAUGAGAUAGGUGGAUGCCCGAAGAAGGUGUUUGAGUGUAAGGGCUCAUCGCUGGAAACCGUGUUUGACGACACGGGAAUUUGGUACCAGGCUAAGUGAACCUGUGUACUUGACUUUAUGUCAUUCCCAAAUUGGGACUAUAGGUAGGAACCCAGGCUAAGUGAUCUAGGGCACUACCACUGGGUCGAGACACUCUUGUGUGUCUUCCCCUCACGUAUACUCUAAUCUCGGCGGCAACCGGAGUUUGACAGUUGGUGUAAAUUACGUAGGGUAUUCCACCUAGCUCAUCUGCAUUACAUUGUAGUUGAAAAACUAUUACAUUAUGCCCAUGUGUUUUCAAAUGAAUUGAUAUGAAACUGCUUUAUAAUGGCUCUCACUUAUAUUUUGUAAAAAUAUUAUGUUUUGUUUUGAUAUCUCUGCGUACCAGUACUUUUGUAUUGACCCCCCCUUCCUCCCAGGUUCGGAGGCACAGUCUAGAGGUCCAGAAAAUCAGUAGAUUCCUCAGAAAGAUUUGCAGAGUUACUUGGUGAGCCUUCUAUAUUUCGAAAGGCCUGAUGUCUGGCAGUUUCAUUUAUCAGUUAUUAGUUUUGGGUCUACUGGGGGCCUUGUCCCAGUUUUCAGAUAUUUAUUUCAGUCAUGUAGUAGAGAGUUCGCAGACGUUUUAGAGAUGUUUGAGAUUGUGGGACAUUAUUCCCCAUUAUUGCUUUCAUAUGAUUCCUGACCAUGUUUUCCGUCAUAUUGUGUAUCUUCCGCAUUUUCAUUGUCAUAUAAGUUCAUGUGCAUGAUUACCAGACAGAUAGGGGUGUUCCGGGCCUUAUGGUUCGGAAUGCUCGUCACGGCCAGGGCCCCGGGUCGUGACAAUAAGUAUCUCAAUAGCACCCAUUUCCAGAACUUUUAAUGUAUCAUCAACCCCAAAGACGUACUUCCCUGUGUCCUGACUAAUCUCUUCAAAGUACUUACCGAUCAAUUUCUUCUCUUGUAUAAACUUCACAUUGGCUAAGAUCUCAGCAGAAAGCUCAAUUGCUUGGUUGAAACCAUUUUCCCCUCCAUAAGAAACAUCAACCACAUUUAGAAUCUUCGCCUGAAGACGAGGAUCAAACAUAUUAGACUGACUCAGCUCAGUUUUAAAGUCAGCAGAUCCAGCUAGUAUCAGGCCGGAGACAUUGGGCUGGCUGGUGGCAGGAUUUAUAUAAAAUUGGGUUGCAAGCUCUGCUGUCUUCCUCACAUAGUUGUGUCAUUUCUCCAUCCGGAGACGAGCAAAACGCAAGGCUGAUUGUCCUCCUCUUCCGUGUUUUUUGGGCAGAUCAACGCUAAACUUAUGAAGGACCUCACGGGUGUUGCCACUCAAUGUCCCAAAAAGAGUCCCAUUCCCGUCCAUCACUAUGAAUCCAAAUUUGUCAUCAGAUUCCAAAAGUUCAUUCAGGGCUUCUGUGUGGAACUUGUUAUCACAAAGAUAGAGCGAUGCAUUAAUGGGCUUGAACGGCUCAAAAUCAAUUGUAACCUUCUUCUCCUUCCCGUCAUCAGUCACAAUUGUUCCAGUAUAAAGGACAAGCCCAUUCGGUGGAACCUUGUUGUAGAGUUUCAGCCUCUGCUGAGCAGAUGUGAUUGUGCCAAGCACAGAUUGACGAUUCACUCUGCUCUUAAUAUUUGAUGCAGUUCCAAACUCAUCUCCAAGCAUCUUAGUAACACGAGAUACUUGAUCAUGUGGAGGCAUGAUAAGUGAAAUCAUGCUGGUUCCAUUGCCUCUAGCAGCUUCUAGGAAGGUUGAAGUACAUUAAACUUAUCUUGAAAGACUGGUUCUUGAAGAGUGCACAAGUUUGGUUGAAAUCAAUUUUUGUAUUGGAGAUCUUGGAAGGCUAGUCUUUCUGAAUCUGAAGAACUGCAGAAAUUUAAAGACCCUACCAGAGAGCGUUCAAUUGGAAAAGCUUGAAGUUUUUAUCCUAUCAGGCUGCUUAAAACUCAAAUCGUUUCCAGAAAUAGAAGGGAAAAUGAAUUGUUUAACAGAACUAUAUUUGGGAGCGACUGCUUUGAGUGAACUGCCCGCAUCAAUUGAAAACAAGUUCAAAACCAUAUUAAAACAUGAAUAAUCAUAAUUAAACCAUGGGAAAACAUUGUUCAACAAUAAGCAUUCAAAACACACAACCCUUGAUUUCAAAAAUAAAAUAAUUCCAUGUGAAUAACAUUUUAAUACAUAUGCUUUAUAACAAAUUAAGAAUGAGGGACGAGUCACAUGCCUGAGAUAGUAAGAUGUACAGAGCGACCCUUGAAAGCCCUAAUUGAUCAACCUCUUGAAAACCCUAAGUGUUCUUGACCUUGAGAAAUUUGAGAGUGUUGAGAAGUUACU